This is an RNA transcript of Carya illinoinensis, 1703 nucleotides long. It is a transcript of the gene named uracil-DNA glycosylase, mitochondrial, with no coding region annotated. NCBI's taxonomy places the organism in Eukaryota, Viridiplantae, Streptophyta, Magnoliopsida, Fagales, Juglandaceae. The record is from RefSeq and is a predicted model, not a curated record. The transcript is spliced from 7 exons.
CUUUAUUUCACUCUCUCUUUCCCAAUUUAGUGUAAGGCUUUCAAAUCAGAAUCGAGAAAAAAACGAAGGAAAUAAUGGCUUCGGGUUCGUCCAGAACCCUAAUGGAUUUCUUCAAACCAGCAGCAGCUGCUAAGCGCAUCAAACUUUCAUCCUCAUCACCUGAUUCAGCAGUCUGUAAAUCAGUCACUGCGCAUUGCCACUCCGAGUCCGAGUCUCACAUCGACCACAGCUCCGAAGACGAUACCACCCUAAUCAAUGGCCACCAAAAAGCCCGCAUGGAAUUCAACAGACUGCUAGCCAAAGCAAAGCUUAAUCUCAAAAUCUGUUCCCAGAAAGUCUACAAGGCCAAAGCAGGUGAAGGUGACGGUGAUGGUGAUUAUUUGAAAUUGGCGGAACUGUUGGUGGAGGAGACGUGGUUGGAAGCUCUGCCGGGGGAACUUCAGAAGCCCUAUUUCCUGAACCUCUGCAGGUUUCUGGAAACCGAGAUGUGCUCUGGCAUCCGUGUGCCCAUAUACCCGCCUCGCCACUUGAUUUUUAAUGCUCUCAACUCUACCCCUUUUGAUACUGUCAAGGCUGUUGUUCUUGGACAGGAUCCUUAUCAUGGACCCGGUCAAGCAAUGGGCCUUUCAUUCUCUGUUCCCGAAGGGAUGAAGCUCCCUUCCAGCUUACUCAAUAUUUUUAAGGAACUGCACCAGGACCUCGGCUGUUCGGUCCCGUCGCAUGGGAAUCUACAGAAAUGGGCUGUACAGGGUGUUCUACUGCUCAAUGCUGUUCUCACCGUUAGGAAACACCAGGCUAAUUCUCAUUCAAAGAAAGGAUGGGAGCAAUUUACUGAUGCCGUUAUUAAAACAAUUUCACAAAAGAAGCAAGGAGUCAUUUUUCUCCUUUGGGGGAACUCUGCUCAAGAGAAAUCCAGGUUGAUUGAUGAGACUAAGCAUCACAUUCUCAAAGCAGCACACCCUUCUGGUUUGUCAGCAAACAGAGGCUUUUUUGGAUGCAGUAUUGAGUUGCGGUGCAUCCUACAGACUAUACCAGUUAGUUUCUGUGCUGGCAUAACUAUUGGAGAAAGUACACCACUUUGCACCCUAAAACUAUAAGGAAUUUUGCACUCUGCACUCCAAACUAUUAAAUCUGAUACAUGAUACAUCGCACCCUCAAACUGUCAGAAUUUACACUUUGUAUCCUAUGACUAUUUAAAGAAAUGAAAAAUAAUUGACAUUGCCCGAUUGACAGUCAGAUCUUAAUGGAGAAUGCAAAGGUUUUGGUAGUUUGAGGGUACAAGUGUCAUUGUCUUGUAGUUUUGGGUCCAAAAUGUAAAACUCUUGAUAGUUUAAGAUGCAAAGUGUAUUGAUCCCAUAUUAUUUAAUCUUUUGGCAUUUUUCUCGCACAAACAAGCUUUUGGAGCAAAUGGGUGUUACCUCUAUAGAUUGGCAACUUUGACUUGGAUGGGCCAACUUAUAUCCGAAAGUCUUUUUUGUGUUCGCUGAAAUCCCUUUUGAGAUGCACUAGUAAGACAAUUUUUGGUUCUUCUGUCACGUAAAUCCAUUUUCCACAAGACCAGGGCUCUUCCAGUGGCUCCACCAGAAACAGCACACACAUGACAAGAAGUCCUUGCCUGUUUCUAGAUUGUAUUUACUAUUUACUCUAAAAUGCUGAUGUAGAAGCCCGCUGAUUCACUUAUAAUGAAACGAAGUUUUCCUUCA